Molecule: ribosomal RNA, 468 nt
Filed under: uncultured bacterium
Lineage: Bacteria
Description: partial 16S ribosomal RNA
Rfam family: Bacterial small subunit ribosomal RNA
Source: RNAcentral
GACGAACGCUGGCGGCGUGCUUAACACAUGCAAGUCGAACGGAAAGGCCCUGCUUUUGUGGGGUGCUCGAGUGGCGAACGGGUGAGUAACACGUGAGUAACCUGCCCUUGACUUUGGGAUAACUUCAGGAAACUGGGGCUAAUACCGGAUAGGAGCUCCUGCUGCAUGUUGGGGGUUGGAAAGUUUCGGCGGUUGGGGAUGGACGCGCGGCUUAUCAGCGUGUUGGUGGGGUAGUGGCUUACCAAGGCUUUGACGGGUAGCCGGCCUGAGAGGGUGACCGGCAACAUUGGGACUGAGAUACGGCCCAGACUCCUACGGGAGGCAGCAGUGGGGAAUAUUGCACAAUGGGCGGAAGCCUGAUGCAGCAACGCCGCGUGCGGGAUGACGGCCUUCGGGUUGUAAACCGCUUUCGCCUGUGACGAAGCGUGAGUGACGGUAAUGGGUAAAGAAGCACCGGCUAACUACGUG